RNAcentral lists this ribosomal RNA (517 nucleotides) under uncultured archaeon. RNAcentral's name for it is "bacterial SSU rRNA". It matches the Rfam family "Archaeal small subunit ribosomal RNA", at positions 483 to 997 of the family's 1478-position model. The record is from RNAcentral.
CCCGAAUGGUGAUCGUGAUAUUGGGCUAAAGGUCCGUAGCCGGUUUGGUCAGUCCUCCGGGAAAUCUGAUAGCUCAACUAUUAGGCUUUCGGGGGAGUACUGGCCAGACUUGGAACCGGGAGAGGUAAGAGGUACUACAGGGGUAGGAGUGAAAUCUUGUAAUCCCUGUGGGACCACCUGUGGCGAAGGCGUCUUACCAGAACGGGUUCGACGGUGAGGGACGAAAGCUGGGGGGCACGAACCGGAUUAGAUACCCGGGUAGUCCCAGCCGUAAACGAUGCUCGCUAGGUGUCAGGCAUGGCGCGACCGUGUCUGGUGCCGCAGGGAAGCCGUGAAGCGAGCCACCUGGGAAGUACGGCCGCAAGGCUGAAACUUAAAGGAAUUGGCGGGGGAGCACAACAACGGGUGGAGACCCUGCGGUUUAAUUGGACUCAACGCCGGACAACUCACCGGGGGCGACAGCAAUAUGUAGGCCAAGCUGAAGACUUUGCCUGAAUCGCUGAGAAGAGGUGCAUGG